AGUGGAGCAAUCCAUGAGUAAAGUGGCGUACGGGUGAGUAACACGUGGGUAAUCUACCUCUUGGUGGGGAAUAACUCUGGGAAACCGGAGCUAGUACCGCAUAAGCUUGAGAGAGGAAAGGCGAAAGUCGCCGAGAGAGGAGCCCGCGGCCGAUUAGCUAGUUGGUAGGGUAAAGGCCUACCAAGGCGAAGAUCGGUAGCCGGCCUGAGAGGGCACACGGCCACACUGGCACUGAAACACGGGCCAGACUCCUACGGGAGGCAGCAGUGGGGAAUCUUGCACAAUGGGGGAAACCCUGAUGCAGCGACGCCGCGUGAGUGAUGACGCCCUUCGGGGUGUAAAGCUCUUUCGGCAGGGACGAUAAUGUCGGUACCUGAAGAAGAAGCUGCGGCUAACUACGUGCCAGCAGCCGCGGUAAUACGUAGGCAGCGAGCGUUGUUCGGAGUUACUGGGCGUAAAGCGUGCGUAGGCUGUGGUCCAAGUCUGGUGUGAAAUCUCCCGGCUCAACUGGGAGGGUGCGCUAGAAACUGGGCUGCUGGAGUGUGGGAGAGGUAAGCGGAAUUCCUGGUGUAGCGGUGAAAUGCGUAGAUAUCAGGAGGAACACCUGCGGUGUAGACGGCUUACUGGACCAUGACUGACGCUGAGGCACGAAAGCGUGGGGAGCAAACAGGAUUAGAUANCCUGGUAGUCCACGCCCUAAACGAUGCAUACUUGGUGUGGGCAGUUCAGUCUGUCCGUGCCGGAGCU
RNAcentral lists this ribosomal RNA (747 nucleotides) under uncultured Bryobacterales bacterium. Its description in RNAcentral is "SSU rRNA". It matches the Rfam family "Bacterial small subunit ribosomal RNA", at positions 73 to 853 of the family's 1533-position model. Lineage: Bacteria; Pseudomonadati; Acidobacteriota; Terriglobia; Bryobacterales. The record is from RNAcentral.